Molecule: ribosomal RNA, 440 nt
Filed under: uncultured archaeon
Lineage: Archaea
Description: bacterial SSU rRNA
Rfam family: Archaeal small subunit ribosomal RNA
Source: RNAcentral
GGAGGUUACUGCUAUCGGUGUUCGCCUAACCCAUGCGAGUCAUAUGUUCUUCGUGAACAUGGCGUACUGCUCAGUAACACGUGAAUAACCUGCCCUUGGGACCGGCAUAACCCCGGGAAACUGGGGAUAAUUCCGGAUACCGCAUAUAUGCUGGAAUGCUUUAUGCGUGAAAUGGAUUCGUCUGCCCAAGGAUGGAUCUGCGGCCUAUCAGGUAGUAGUGGGUGUAAUGUACCUACUACCCUACAACGGGUACGGGUUGUGAAAGCAAGAGCCCGGAAAUGGAUUCUGAGACAUGAAUCCAGGCCCUACGGGGCGCACCAGGCGCGAAAACUUUACAAUGCGGGAAACCGUGAUAAGGGGACACCGAGUGCCAGCAACAUUUGUUGGCUGUCCAGGUGUGUAAACUACACCUGUUAGCAAGGGCCGGGCAAGACCGGUGC